CAGUCGCCACGGUAAUACGGAGGGGGCUAGCGUUGUUCGGAAUUACUGGGCGUAAAGCGCACGUAGGCGGCUUGGUAAGUUAGAGGUGAAAGCCUGGAGCUCAACUCCAGAAUUGCCUUUAAGACUGCCGAGCUAGCAGGUGAGAGAGGUAAGUGGAAUUCCGAGUGUAGAGGUGAAAUUCGUAGAUAUUCGGAAGAACACCAGUGGCGAAGGCGGUUCUCUGGCAAUGUUCUGACGCUGAGGAGCGAAAGUGUGGGGAGCGAACAGGAUUAGAUACCCCGGUAGUCCCUGUCUCUUAUAC
This 301-nucleotide ribosomal RNA is filed under the name uncultured bacterium. RNAcentral's name for it is "partial 16S ribosomal RNA". It matches the Rfam family "Bacterial small subunit ribosomal RNA", at positions 509 to 807 of the family's 1533-position model. The record is from RNAcentral.